This 450-nucleotide ribosomal RNA is filed under the name uncultured soil bacterium. Its description in RNAcentral is "partial 16S ribosomal RNA". The record is from RNAcentral.
GAAUUCGAUUCGGUGUGACAAGGCCCGGGAACGUAUUCACCGCGGCGUGCUGAUCCGCGAUUACUAGCGAUUCCAACUUCAAGCAGGCGAGUUGCAGCCUGCUAUCCGAACUGAGACCGACUUUCUCCGAUUAGCUCCCCCUUGCGGGCUCGCGACGGUUUGUAUCGGCCAUUGUAGCACGUGUGUAGCCCCAGACAUAAAGGCCAUGCUGACUUGACGUCAUCCCCACCUUCCUCCGGUUUAUCACCGGCAGUCUUUGCAGAGUGCCCAGCUUAACCUGAUGGCAACAGCAAACAAGGGUUGCGCUCGUUGCGGGACUUAACCCAACAUCUCACGACACGAGCUGACGACAGCCAUGCAGCACCUCUACGAGUGUCCUUGCGGAAGUCAACUUUCGUCGAUGGUCACUCGCUGUUCAAGCCUGGGUAAGGUUCUUCGCGUUAAUCACUA